Long non-coding RNA from Leguminivora glycinivorella, 155 nucleotides. RefSeq lists it as uncharacterized. NCBI's taxonomy places the organism in Eukaryota, Metazoa, Arthropoda, Insecta, Lepidoptera, Tortricidae. The record is from RefSeq and is a predicted model, not a curated record. The transcript is spliced from 2 exons.
UUGCAGACACACUUGCGUUAACAAUACCUUAUGGAGCAGAACCUAGCCUAGAUCUAACCUAAAUAGUCAUUUAAAAGAGGAACAAACUUAUCAGUGCCGGAUGGUUAUAUUUUUUAAACUAUAGGUACAAUAGUUUAAAAAAUGUAUUUGAUUUA